UACAGAGGUGGCAAGCGUUGUUCGGAAUUACUGGGCGUAAAGGGCGCGUAGGCGGUCUUGCAAGUCCUGUGUGAAAUCCCUCGGCUCAACUGAGGAACUGCACAGGAAACUGCUUGGCUUGAGUUCGGGAGAGGGAAGUGGAAUUCCACGUGUAGCGGUGAAAUGCGUAGAGAUGUGGAGGAACACCAGUGGCGAAGGCGACUUUCUGGUCUAUAACUGACACUGAGGCGCGAAAGCGUGGGGAGCAAACAGG
Molecule: ribosomal RNA, 253 nt
Filed under: uncultured bacterium
Lineage: Bacteria
Description: partial 16S ribosomal RNA
Rfam family: Bacterial small subunit ribosomal RNA
Source: RNAcentral